GCGAGGCCGAAAGGCGUAGUCGAUGGGAAACAGGUUAAUAUUCCUGUACUUGGUGUUACUGCGAAGGGGGGACGGAGAAGGCUAUGUUAGCCGGGCGACGGUUGUCCCGGUUUAAGCAUGUAGGCUGGUUAUCCAGGCAAAUCCGGAUAAUCAAGGCUGAGGUGUGAUGACGAGGCACUACGGUGCUGAAGUAACAAAUGCCCUGCUUCCAGGAAAAGCCUCUAAGCAUCAGGUAACAUCAAAUCGUACCCCAAACCG
Molecule: ribosomal RNA, 258 nt
Filed under: Klebsiella pneumoniae
Lineage: Bacteria; Pseudomonadati; Pseudomonadota; Gammaproteobacteria; Enterobacterales; Enterobacteriaceae
Also listed under: 1 other name
Description: partial 23S ribosomal RNA
Rfam family: Bacterial large subunit ribosomal RNA
Source: RNAcentral